Schizosaccharomyces pombe (fission yeast) is the source of this 610-nucleotide non-coding RNA. NCBI's taxonomy places the organism in Eukaryota, Fungi, Ascomycota, Schizosaccharomycetes, Schizosaccharomycetales, Schizosaccharomycetaceae. The record is from the annotation of a GenBank genome assembly.
AGAAAGAUCCUGACUAGGAUCAAGCAACUGGAACCAACUCUUAGACUGUAAGACAGCGACGUCUUUGGGAGUAGCAAGGGUGAGUUGCAUUGGGGUUUCUUGGGUAUGUUCAAAAGUAUUUUCAAAGUCAGUAAAAGUACCACGAUACAAGAACCGACUAAUAACUUCAAUAACUUCCUUUCCAUCACGGUAAACAGUACCCUUGACAGUGACGGUUUUACCGGAAUCGUUGUUCAAAAUAGCAAUGAUAGAAGCAGACGUGGUUACCUUGUCUCCCUCCAUUAAUGAAUGGCUACCAACCAUACGGAAAGAGUUAGACAGAUGAACCAAUCUAAGCAAAUCGCCGUCAAUAGCCUUCGGGAAAAUAGCCUUGGUAAUUGCUUGCCAUCCAACAACAAUUGCAAAAUCCAUAGGGGCCAUACGCUUUCUAAUUGCUCUCUUAGUGUAGGCCUCAUUAUGAUUUCCAACUGUACGGCAAAAAUCUUCAAUCAUGUUUCCAGUGACGGUCACUUCAGGGCCAGUGAAAGUAUCGGUAAUUGAAGCAUUCUCAGGAUAAGGCUCCUCUCCGAACCAUAAAGCCCAGUAGAAAUGCUUGAUACGAUCAUUUCUG